This is a non-coding RNA of Heterocephalus glaber (naked mole-rat), 5259 nucleotides long. Lineage: Eukaryota; Metazoa; Chordata; Mammalia; Rodentia; Bathyergidae. The record is from RefSeq and is a predicted model, not a curated record.
UGUCCUUUCAUGGACCCUUAGAUCAGCCUGGACCGUCUACCCCUGCCAGACUACCCUAUUGGCCCUAAUGCCUAAGGGAUGGUUGCAAAUCAGCUUCUCCACCUCAGGAAGCCUGGGAACAUGGCCAACACGGAUGCAGCGGUGCUCAAGCUGUGUCCUUGGGGUCACCUUGAAGGAUAACUACCUGCAACAAGGAGGAGGAGGAGCUGGAACCCAAGCUGGUGCAUCUGGGAAGCUGGCUCCAGGGCCACCCUGACCUGUUCAUUUCAUCUGUGUAUCGUGCAUCUGGAAAAGUCUUCAUCUGAAGAGUAACAGUCAUGGCUGCAAGAGUUUCGGAAAAGUACCAGGCCAUCUAGCCAUUGUCGAUUCUUCCCCCACUGCAUAGCAAGAGAUGAACCUGACACCAGCCAGCUCGGGCAGUUCCGGAACAUGGACCCUGGAUUUUGUGUGGGGCAGGCAGCUCCCGCUUGUCCGAGGCUUAGGAGGUUCCAGCCAUCUUGGAGGCAUCAUUCUGACCUUCACAGGGACCAGGGUCAAGACAGCUGCAAGAAGGAAAAGGAGUUUCCGAAGCGCAAUGGGAAACCCUGAACAGAUUGUCAGCAGAAGCCCAAGGUCACCUGAGGCAGAACUUUCCGCUCCGCCUGACAGCGCUUUCCAAGCCUGUCCCUUACCCGGCCGCUGCUCCGUCUGUCUCGGCCUUAGCUCCAGUCUUACUGGUCCAGAGGAUGCCAGUUCUACCACGAAAGAUGCCCUCCUCUCUCUCCCAAGUCCCACAGUGUCAUCUCUGCUUCACUGUCUGCCUGACACUCCUCAUUUUGAGGCAGAUCCCCAGAAGGAAACUGGUGGGAAAGUAGGAGGAAAGGCUGAGCAUCCUUGCUUCACCUCAACCUUCCACCGUGAUGCGCCUGCCUUGGAACUGGCCAGCCACAGACUGAAUCCCUUUAAAACCUGCUGACUUGGCUGUCACUGGCCCUCUUGGAGCAGAAGUCACCAUCUGGAGGCUGGGACCAGGCACGGUGAGCAUCAACCACGAAGAUGCUCAUGAAGACAGACAGGAGGCACAGAGCCUGCAACACUGCCACAACCCAUUUUUUGUUGACAUAAACCUUGUUCUCCCAACAACCCUGUCAGGUAAGUAUUACUAUCAUUUUGUGUUUAUUUUUAAUUAUAAAGUCACAGAAACUCUUACUCAUGCCAAGCCGGCCUGCUGGAGGCCAUCUCAUUACCCUCAUUCUUGUAGAAGAUGUAAUCAAGGUCAGGGAGAUGCAGCAACAUGUGCAAAGUCCCCGUGGCAAGACUUUGAUCACCCCUACUACAUAUUUAUUCUUAAUGAAGAAUUGGAAACCUUUGCUAGGCACAGGGGUCUUGCUAUGUGACGACUGGGAAGUGAUGUGGUUAUAUGGCGGCACUUCCUCUAGCUCUUGUGGAAACCACAGGAAGUAGGCACUCCUGUCACUCACCUCGGAGAUGGAGACAGAGCUGAACUCUAAACCCAGCGCUGUCUGAUUGCUCCUUGUGGCUCUUGUCACUAUCCACUCCAUGUGGAGUCACGGUUCACGUGGAGAUCAGGUUAAAAAAUCUGGGCAUGGGAGCCGGGCUUGAAGGCACACACCUGUGAUCCCAGCACUUAGCACUCAGGAGGCUGAGACAGGAGAAUGGCAAGUUGGAGGCCAGCCCAAGCUACAGGGUGAGUUUGAGCCCAGCCUGGACCAUACAGUGAGACUCUGUCUCAAGAAAACAAAAUGAAACAGAACAACAACAAUAGAAAAAAUAGGAACAUGGAGCAAAAUCCACACAUAGUGAAAAUUACUCUCGAAAAUCUCAUGAGCCUCCUCUGAAGUAAAGUGUAUCCUAUUUAUUUAGUAAUUAAUAGGGAAAAAGGCAGGGUCUAUCUCAGGGCUGUGUCAUGUUAGAAAAGUGGCUUUCGACACCAGAAUCCACCGUGGCAGAGUCUGGUUGGAUGCUCACGAAUUCUAUUUAUUUCCUCUCCAGAUGCACAGAAAGAUCCUAUUUCCUGUCUUUUACUGUUAAAUUUGGGCUUUGUGAUUGGGAUCUGGCCAGUGGGAUAUGGAUAGAAGUGAUGGAGUCACUUCUAAGCUUGGUUCUUAAAUACUUAGGGGCCGGGGAUUUAACUCAGUGGUGCCACCGCCUGCCUUGCAAGCGAAAGGUCCUGAGUUUGAUCCCUGGUACCAAAACCAAAACCAAAACAAAACAAAAAACUAAAUACUUAUGUGAUUCUAUAGUCCAGGAGUUGGCAGACUAUGGUCCUCUGCUCGUUGUUUUGAAUAAAGUUUCGUUGGAACAUUCUCCGUUCCUUGUUCGCAUUGUGCCUAGUAAUGCUAAGCACACACCCAAAUAUAAAUAUCUGGGGGCCUCACUCCUGCAAGGUCACAGGUCAAAGACAUUGGCUCUUGAGUCACUGCUUAGAGGAUGGCCACCAAGGAGCGCCUCGGGCUGACGUGAAUGUGCCACUGGGCAGUAAUCCGCCCUUCGUGUGCUCUGCCACUUAGAGGUUGGCCCUGGACUCUGUGGAGACCACAGAUUCACCAGCACCUUCUCACACGCGCUGCCCUGGGUGUGGGUUGAGGGUCGAGUCUGUGCUCACUGUUCGCCUUUCUCUUUGUUCGCUUGUGUUUGCUUCCCCUCACUGAGCACACAUAGCUGAGUUUUCAUCCAUCACAUGUGGGCGCGAUGCGUCUGCACCUCCACCACCCCUGCACCUUCACCAUCAAAGCAUCUUUGAGCGACUUGCAUUUGGCAGUGGCUGAAGAAUGCAGUGUGUGCGGCGGAGAGGAGAAGAGGGGGUCCAAUCGGGCCCAGAUGUCAGGACCCCCAACCCCAGCCGUCUUGGGACGGAGCUCAGAGGAAGAGACCCCCACUGGGGUUCCCAGGGGCUGACUGCCCACUCGGCGCGGCUGCUCAGUGUCAGCCCCGUGGUCUGCAGAGGCAGCUGGCGCCCGGCCCGAUGCAGUCUUUGUCUCUUCUUCCUCUGAAGUCAUCCUGGGACACAGGUGUGCUUCCCCCAAAGCCAGCGGGCAGAGGGGAAGACGCGCCCCAGAGCAGCUGUCAGCUGAAACUCACCGAAGGAGCGCGGAGCCCUCCGACCGCAGCUGAGGAGAAUUCGAGGCUUGCCCGGAGAAGAAUCCCUGAGAUUCUUUAAAGGAAGAAUGCUCCCACAGAUGUGCAGCAUCUGGCCUGUGGAGGGGGUUUCCCUGCCCCGGAGAACGGAGACCAGCCAGCUCAGGAGAUGCCCAGGGGUCCAGACAAGCGGUCCCCACUCGCAGCUCUGAAUUGUGCUUCCCAGAAGGUCAAGUGCGAGCCCAAAUGCCUCUUGCUCUCCCUUAGCAGUUUUGUCCUCCGCUCCCCGCGUACUCUCCAUGGCUCCUGAUGUCUAUGGCUGAGACUGAAGACUCAUAGCCUUGCCUCCGAGCCUUGGCUUUUGCUGUUCAUUCUCCGUGCCUGUUUGGUCACCACCCCACUCCCUUUAAGUGGCCAUCUAAUUUGUUAGGACUCUUCCCACUGCAAACGAGAGAAGUCCACCUCCAUCUGGCUUUAAGCAAAACAAAAACAAAAACAAAAACAAAAACUAUUGAGUUAAAAAUUAUCGAGUAAUGUAACCUAAAGUCUAGGACUGUUUGAUUUUCAAGUUAGGUAUAGCUGGGUCUAGCUCUUCUCAGGACCUUACGUUCGCCAGUUUCUCCAGGUCUAGUCUCUGUUUUUUCUACCUUAGCUCCAGUUUCAAGCGGGUAUCAGAUGGGCUGGCCCUAGCACCCUUUCUACAGAAGGGCAUCGCUUCUUUCCUAGGCUGUAGUCCUGGGAUGGCCAUGGGUUAGCCAUCUUGGACACAUACGUGCUCACAAAUGAAUGACUCACUGGUGUCAAGGGGGAGAUGCCCAUGAUUUCUUGAGCCUAGGUCACAUGUUCCCAGCAAUCCCAGGGAAGGUAGUCUUUCUCCAAAGAAAAUAAGAAUCUUAUGAGCAUAAGGUUGAGUGAGCAUGGGACAGGGAAUGUCAACAGGCACAAUGUGCCUCUCAAGGUCAAAUUCAUUCUCAGUCUACUGUCUACAACUCUGACCUUGCUAUGCUGGCUUUCCAGGGAAGCCCAAUCCAUGGACCUCAUUUUCACCAUUGUGACUCUUCAUAGUCGGGUAUGGGGUUUAUGAACAUCACCUAUGCCAGGCAGAAUGCCAAGACCCACCAUACUUUGCACUAGUGGGACACUUGCUGGCCAUUGGUGGCCAGUGCUCUAUGCCUUACGUGUCCCUUACACUAUGCCACAUGGCUAGCACUCUGCUAACUGCCUAAUUACUCAACAAGUUUUUGUUGGGUUAAACUGCUGUGUAGACGCCAGCACUUGAGCUGGGAGUCAAGAGGUGUGCAUUGUAAUCAAGUCUCUUGACCUUGACCAACAGAAGUAGCUGUUUGAAAAGGGGACUGAGCAGGAUAAUAGCUAUUUUUGUCAAAUGCUUCCAGUUCAUGGCAUUUGCAUUCCAUUUCUCUGGAAAUGACCCUGAGAAAGGACUCAAAUGCAGCAGGACAAGCUGCUCAAGGUGGAAUGUAAGGCCAAAAAUGGGGUAAAAUUGGAAAUUUCCUUGGAGACUCCUAUAAAUGACUUACAAAGUAGCAUUUAAAAAGUUAUACCUGAAUAUUCCCAGAAAGUUCUUUAAAGUCCAGAUAUAAAACUUUUUCUUUUCAAUGCACCAGGAUGAUAUGCCAUAAAACACAGUUCAACCACACUUGGACCAAUGUUAACACCUCAGACUAAAACACUAUCUUCCCGUGAUUCCAUCUUACCUUGAAGAUGGGAGCAUCUCUAUUGCAAGCGAUUGUGUUUAUUCUUUCAGCACACAACCUUAGGGAAUGGAAGGGGGUCACUUUGUGUUAUGCUGUGUUACCAGUAGGUACAGUACCUAAGAUCGUCCUGUAGUGCCCAAUUUAUGAUUGGGCAACAAGAUUUGUCCUUUUUCCUGAUCCAAAGGGAAUCAACACUUUUAGACAAGUCCACAAAGAAGUUGUACUUAGUGAAAUAUUUGAGAUGGAUAUGGUAACAUAUUGUAUAUUAUUUAGUGAGAGCACAUAUUCUGCUAUGCAGUAUUAAAAUACAGCUGGAUAUGCACUCAGCACUGCAAGAUUUACUCCCCGCUGACUUCCAUCUAACUCAAGUCAUCUCUCAAGCCAAAGUCAGAGUCCUGGGGUUCAUUAUGGAAGAAACAGGCCACUGGGACUGGCCUUUUGCCUUGGCAUUUGGGAUUUGGAGUGG